Molecule: ribosomal RNA, 301 nt
Filed under: uncultured bacterium
Lineage: Bacteria
Description: partial 16S ribosomal RNA
Rfam family: Bacterial small subunit ribosomal RNA
Source: RNAcentral
CAGUCGCCACGGUAAUACGUAGGGUGCGAGCGUUAAUCGGAAUUACUGGGCGUAAAGCGUGCGCAGGCGGUUGUGUAAGACAGGUGUGAAAUCCCCGGGCUUAACCUGGGAACUGCGCUUGUGACUGCACAGCUAGAGUAUGGCAGAGGGGGGUGGAAUUCCACGUGUAGCAGUGAAAUGCGUAGAGUUGUGGAGGAACACCGAUGGCGAAGGCAGCCCCCUGGGCCAAUACUGACGCUCAUGCACGAAAGCGUGGGGAGCAAACAGGAUUAGAUACCCGGGUAGUCCCUGUCUCUUAUAC